RNAcentral lists this ribosomal RNA (253 nucleotides) under uncultured bacterium. RNAcentral's name for it is "partial 16S ribosomal RNA". It matches the Rfam family "Bacterial small subunit ribosomal RNA", at positions 524 to 776 of the family's 1533-position model. The record is from RNAcentral.
UACGGGGGGGGCAAGCGUUGUUCGGAAUUACUGGGCGUAAAGGGCUCGUAGGUGGCCAACUAAGUCGGACGUGAAAUCCCUCGGCUUAACCGGGGAACUGCGUCUGAUACUGGAUGGCUUGAGAUUGGGAGAGGGAUGCGGAAUUCCAGGUGUAGCGGUGAAAUGCGUAGAUAUCUGGAGGAACACCGGUGGCGAAGGCGACAUCCUGGACCAACACUGACGCUGAGGAGCGAAAGCCAGGGGAGCAAACGGG